Non-coding RNA from Lactuca sativa (garden lettuce), 1548 nucleotides. NCBI's taxonomy places the organism in Eukaryota, Viridiplantae, Streptophyta, Magnoliopsida, Asterales, Asteraceae. The record is from RefSeq and is a predicted model, not a curated record.
UAGAGAAGUGUCGUUUUUACGUACGUGUAGUCAUCGGCUUCUAACACCACGAACAUACGUGCCUUCUUCUCUUUCUUUCACCGCCUCAUCUUUUAUUUUCAGAGGUUUUUCUUAAAUGUUGAAUUUUGAUUGUCCUCUUCGUCUGCUCCCAUCUUCAAUUGAAGCUUCCAUCACCGUUCACAUGCUUUUCUGGUAAAUGGAAUUGAUCCCCAAAAUACACAGUCUCUUCUCUUCUUCUCGCCUGACCAUCUUCCCUCCGCUUGUUACUAACUAUAGAAAUGAUUUAGGUAAUUGUGAAGGAUCGAGAUGACCUAAUUCCUUUUCUAUUUAAUCAGGCACCUUACCAGCUUGCUACAAGGUAAUUAUUAUUCACAGACCAUUUGAUUAUGUUUUUAUAUCUAAAAUAUUUAUGUUAGCAGUGCUUGUGUUUUUUCGUUAGCGAUGAAGGAUGGGAGGUUAGGGUUACGGAGGAUGCUACGGCGGAGGGUUCCAGAGUGAAGAUCGAUUGCGACAGAGGAUGCAAACAUCAAAAUCCAUUAUCGACUGUAGACUGAAUGAUUGAAGCUCCGGAAUCAAUGAGGUGUAAGUAUUUUUCAAGUUUUUGGAGGCGUUGUUUAGCUAUUUGGACCAUCUUCUCUUCGCCAACGUUUGCUUAGAAGAAGAAAAUUUGUUGAGAGAGAUGAAGCAACUGCAGGUAAAACUUAAUACUCACAUGUGACAUUUUUUGUAGGAUCUUUGCCAGUGAAACAAUGAUGAGUUGAAUAGGGCAUGAAAUUUAGUAUUAUGCAUUCUACGUGUUUGAUAUAUUGUCUCAAAUAGAGAGGAAGAUGUUUGAAAAAGUCUAGAGGUGACUUUGAAGUUUUUGAUGGAAGAGAUGCUUCUCUGGUGAUGUAUGAAAUCAAUAUUCGUAUUUUUGUUCUUAUAUUUUUAUGGUUUGUGUAAUUUUCGAUUAUACCUGUAUUGUCGAUUCUUUUAGAGGUCAUUUGUUAUUUGCCUGUUAAGUUUUGGAUUUUGUAUGUUUCUUUCUUAGAUUGGAUUUCUAAGGGCUGGGCUUUGUUGUGAAUACAUAUUUUAGCCGUUUUCAGGAAGUAUUGUAAGAUUGGAUUGAACAGCUUUUUUUACUUGGAAAUACACCACUCAUACCCUUUCUCCAAGAUGUCAUUCAAAAUAUGAGGGAUUCAGAUAAUUCCAAGACCACCUCAUUCUUGUUGGAUGAUGACUCAAGGUUGACUUAUCAGAACUAAUUUCAUUUUGUAUUUUUUUUUUGAAUUUUACAUGCUUUUAUUCUGAGUUUUACACACAAUACUACGAAGUUCUAGGGAGACGAUAUUGUUUUGCAAAUCAACAGGAUGUUGGGUUAUUGAACAUUGCUCAGUGUGCAUUAACUGUCUCAUUUGCCAAGUUGAUUAAUGAAAAAGAGUCUGAUUAUGCCCUUGAAAGGUAAUUUGACCCUUUUGCCCUUUUCUCCAAAACACAAACUUAUAGGUAAUGUAUUUUUGUAAUAAACCAUUUGCUAUAAGAUGAAUGCAACAGAUGCGUUUAAACUAA